GAACGCUGGCGGCGUGCCUAAUACAUGCAAGUCGAGCGAACAGAUAAGGAGCUUGCUCCUUUGACGUUAGCGGCGGACGGGUGAGUAACACGUGGGUAACCUACCUAUAAGACUGGGAUAACUUCGGGAAACCGGAGCUAAUACCGGAUAACAUUUGGAACCGCAUGGUUCUAAAGUGAAAGAUGGUUUUGCUAUCACUUAUAGAUGGACCCGCGCCGUAUUAGCUAGUUGGUAAGGUAACGGCUUACCAAGGCGACGAUACGUAGCCGACCUGAGAGGGUGAUCGGCCACACUGGAACUGAGACACGGUCCAGACUCCUACGGGAGGCAGCAGUAGGGAAUCUUCCGCAAUGGGCGAAAGCCUGACGGAGCAACGCCGCGUGAGUGAUGAAGGGUUUCGGCUCGUAAAACUCUGUUAUUAGGGAAGAACAAAUGUGUAAGUAACUGUGCACAUCUUGACGGUACCUAAUCAGAAAGCCACGGCUAACUACGUGCCAGCAGCCGCGGUAAUACGUAGGUGGCAAGCGUUAUCCGGAAUUAUUGGGCGUAAAGCGCGCGUAGGCGGUUUCUUAAGUCUGAUGUGAAAGCCCACGGCUCAACCGUGGAGGGUCAUUGGAAACUGGGAAACUUGAGUGCAGAAGAGGAAAGUGGAAUUCCAUGUGUAGCGGUGAAAUGCGCAGAGAUAUGGAGGAACACCAGUGGCGAAGGCGACUUUCUGGUCUGUAACUGACGCUGAUGUGCGAAAGCGUGGGGAUCAAACAGGAUUAGAUACCCUGGUAGUCCACGCCGUAAACGAUGAGUGCUAAGUGUUAGGGGGUUUCCGCCCCUUAGUGCUGCAGCUAACGCAUAAGC
This 852-nucleotide ribosomal RNA is filed under the name Staphylococcus sp. Its description in RNAcentral is "bacterial SSU rRNA". It matches the Rfam family "Bacterial small subunit ribosomal RNA", at positions 31 to 865 of the family's 1533-position model. Lineage: Bacteria; Bacillati; Bacillota; Bacilli; Caryophanales; Staphylococcaceae. The record is from RNAcentral.